Molecule: unclassified non-coding RNA, 837 nt
Filed under: Hevea brasiliensis (rubber tree)
Lineage: Eukaryota; Viridiplantae; Streptophyta; Magnoliopsida; Malpighiales; Euphorbiaceae
Source: RNAcentral
CCCCCGCAUGCUUCUCCGGCCCAUCUUUCACAAAAUAAACAUCCCUCAUCUUCUGAAAUGCGUGCCACGUCAACAAGCUAUCUGAUCCGGCUUGAUGACAUUUCCCGACUGCCCGAUUCACUUUUAGUGUAGUGGCCACUCGAUCCAAACCACCAUACAAACCAUCACAGAACCGCAUCAUGUAUUUUACAUCAUAAACUCUAUUCCCAAAAAAUACCCUCAACAAUCUCAUAAAAUCCUGUAAAUCACUAGGCAAGCAUCGGCGCGUCAAGAUCUUCACCAGAUAUCCAAAAUCAUAGGCACUGUGAAACGUGACCCAACUCAUCGAUUCAUUGCAUAUCAGUCCCGAAGACAUCAUUAACUCAGCAAACCGGUCAGAGUCAAUACCUUCCUCUCUGUUCCUUUCAAAGUCGAUGCCCUGACGCUUAAGCAAGUCGAUGGAAUCCGGGGCGUGAGCAUCACGAGACACGUCAAAAUCCCGAAAAUUAAAUUCCCAGAUGAAUCGAUUUGUAGUGCCGAGAUCAGGGAGAUUGCCAUUGGAGUCAGAAAGAGUGAGGCCUACCUGGAUGAGAUUCAAAGCAUCGACGUUGGACUUGAGGAUCUUGUAAUGAUCAAAGGGGUGGCGUUGAUGGGAGUAAAAAUUUGCGGAGUCGAGUGAAGGAUGGAAAAUUAGGCCAGGAAAUUCUGUAUCCAUGGAAAUGAAGGGAAAGUCAUCAAUGAGGUCGCGUAUGAGCUGGAAUUCAGAUUCCAAAUUAGCAGACCAUACUUGUCGAAUGAUAACUGGGUUGGAGUCUUGAAGAAUCAUUUUCGUUUGCAGAUUAAAGAGAAGCUUGGUGG